Molecule: non-coding RNA, 212 nt
Filed under: Paenibacillus pini
Lineage: Bacteria; Bacillati; Bacillota; Bacilli; Caryophanales; Paenibacillaceae
Source: RNAcentral
CAAAAUAUAGUGUGAACAGAUAAUGUCGUGUUCUGAUAGAUACGAUAUUAUGAGAGGGAAGAACGGUGUAAAUCCGUCACGGUCCCGCCACUGUAACCGGAUAUCCGGUCAUCACAUCAGAGAGCCGGAAUGCUUGGUGUAAGCCACCGUAAUGGGAAGAAACCAAACCUUUUUUCGGGAGUCAGAACACUCGCCUGUUUCACGCGCAAUCC